CUGCUGCCUCCCGUAGGAGUUUGGGCCGUGUCUCAGUCCCAAUGUGGCCGUCCGCCCUCUCAGGCCGGCUACUGAUCGUCGCUUUGGUAGGCCGUUACCCUGCCAACUGGCUAAUCAGACGCGGGUCCAUCGUAUGCCACCGGAGUUUUUCACACAAAAGCAUGCGCUCUCGUGCGCUUAUGCGGUGUUAGCACCUAUUUCUAAGUGUUAUCCCCCUGCAUACGGCAGGUUACCCACGCGUUACUCACCCGUCCG
This 255-nucleotide ribosomal RNA is filed under the name uncultured bacterium. RNAcentral describes it as "partial 16S ribosomal RNA". The record is from RNAcentral.